This 128-nucleotide ribosomal RNA is filed under the name Pseudomonas aeruginosa. RNAcentral's name for it is "partial 16S ribosomal RNA". It matches the Rfam family "Bacterial small subunit ribosomal RNA", at positions 1 to 128 of the family's 1533-position model. The record is from RNAcentral. Lineage: Bacteria; Pseudomonadati; Pseudomonadota; Gammaproteobacteria; Pseudomonadales; Pseudomonadaceae.
GAACUGAAGAGUUUGAUCAUGGCUCAGAUUGAACGCUGGCGGCAGGCCUAACACAUGCAAGUCGAGCGGAUGAAGGGAGCUUGCUCCUGGAUUCAGCGGCGGACGGGUGAGUAAUGCCUAGGAAUCUG